RNAcentral lists this long non-coding RNA (1054 nucleotides) under Homo sapiens (human). RNAcentral describes it as "HSALNT0317915". The record is from RNAcentral. Lineage: Eukaryota; Metazoa; Chordata; Mammalia; Primates; Hominidae.
UUGCCUGGAGCUCUGAGGUUGAUAGGCACGAUGGAGCUUCUAUUGAAUGUUUAAGGCCUUACUGACUGACUGAGCUAUAGGCGACGUGAAGGCUGUUCUAUUAUCAGACUUUAUGGCAGCAGGCAGCCUAUACUGAACGAUGAUUUCAUUGUGUAAAAACUUAACUACUGUGUUGGUGGUUUCGUUUUCGGUAGCAAAUGCCUUAGUCUAUCUGGAGAAGGUGUCUACUAGUACUAGAAGGCAUUUGUACUUAGCCUGGUGUGGUUUGACUUCUGUAAAGUCAAUUUCUUACUUUUUUCUUGGCGAGGUUUUUCAGAGACAGUGGCCUGGGCUGGGUUUAGGACUUUGUUUGGCAUUUACUUGGGCGCAGGUUGUGAACUGGAGAGCUGCUUAAUCUGUUAGGCUUUGAAGACGGGGGAUCUUAAAAUGGCUCCGCAGGAGCUGAGGUAGCUUUGCUCUUUUUAAGUGGGUGGUAGACUGUAGGUGACGGACUAAAUUUUCUUUAAGGGUUCAGGAUAUGAAGCGUCUAGAGUCAGGAAGAAUCUACUAACUUUCCUGAUUUUUAUUGACUCUGAGAUCUGAAGCCAGUUUUUUGUUGUUGUUGUUGAGUGUACGGGAUUGUCAGGCAGAUCUGGCUGUGGAAAGGAGACUGUGGGCAGCAAGUUUAGAGGCGUGACUGAAAGUCUCGCUGCGACCUGAGCUGCUGAAUCAGGUUUCUGGUUACUAUGGGCAACGGCCGUGUUUUCUUUUUGAUGUCCUUUGCAGUGGAUCACAGCUACCUGCUGAGGUGAGGAUUCAGGAGAUAAUUCUGCAAACAGAACUUCCUGAGAACUGAGAUGGGGGAAAUCGCUGGUAUUAGAAGAGUGAAAAGAAACUCCUGGAGGGCAGAGGCAUGCCUGCCAUCUUCAUCAAUGCAUUACCACCACCCAACACUAUCGGGGGACCUGCCCUGAUAAUCAGUCUACAGGUGAAUCCAGCAGCUCCAGAGAGACAGCGACCAGCGAGAAGGGGCCAUGAUGAUGGUGGUGGUUUUGUCAAAACGAAAAGGGGGAUA